This is a non-coding RNA of Trichonephila clavipes, 73 nucleotides long. The record is from the annotation of a GenBank genome assembly. Lineage: Eukaryota; Metazoa; Arthropoda; Arachnida; Araneae; Nephilidae.
GUCCUUGUGGUGCAAUGGAAAGCAUAUUGGACCUCUAAUCCAAAGGACGUGGCGUCGAAUCCUACCUGGGAUG